GUGAGGAAUAUUGGUCAAUGGGCGAGAGCCUGAACCAGCCAAGUCGCGUGAAGGAAGAAGGAUCUAUGGUUCGUAAACUUCUUUUGCAGGGGAAUAAAGUGCAGGACGUGUCCUGUUUUGUAUGUACCCUGAGAAUAAGGAUCGGCUAACUCCGUGCCAGCAGCCGCGGUAAUACGGAGGAUCCGAGCGUUAUCCGGAUUUAUUGGGUUUAAAGGGUGCGUAGGUGGUUUGAUAAGUCAGCGGUGAAAGUUUGCAGCUUAACUGUAAAAAUGCCGUUGAAACUGUCGGACUUGAGUGUAAAUGAGGUAGGCGGAAUGCGUGGUGUAGCGGUGAAAUGCAUAGAUAUCACACAGAACUCCGAUUGCGAAGGCAGCUUACUAAGCUACAACUGACACUGAAGCACGAAAGCGUGGGGAUCAAACAGGAUUAGAUACCCCGGUAGUCC
RNAcentral lists this ribosomal RNA (445 nucleotides) under uncultured bacterium. RNAcentral's name for it is "partial 16S ribosomal RNA". It matches the Rfam family "Bacterial small subunit ribosomal RNA", at positions 354 to 796 of the family's 1533-position model. The record is from RNAcentral.